CGGAGAGGGCGCAUGAGACAUUGGCCCAGGCCCUACGGGGCGCAGCAGUCGCGAAAACUCCGCAAUGCGCGAAAGCGUGACGGGGCUACCCCGAGUGCCGUCCGCUGAGGAUGGCUUUUCCCCGGUGUAAUGAGCCGGGGGAAUAAGGAGAGGGCAAGUCUGGUGUCAGCCGCCGCGGUAAUACCAGCUCUCCGAGUGGUAGGGACAAUUAUUGGGCUUAAAGCGUCCGUAGCUGGCUUGGCAAGUCUCCUGUUAAAUUCAGCGACUUAAUCGUUGAGCCGCGGGAGAUACUACUAGGCUAGGAGGCGGGAGAGGCCGACGGUAUUCCCGGGGUAGGGGUGAAAUCCUAUAAUCCCGGGAGGACCACCAGUGGCGAAGGCUGUCGGCUAGAACGCGCUCGACGGUGAGGGACGAAAGCUGGGGGAGCGAACCGGAUUAGAUACCCGGGUAGUCCCAGCCGUAAACGAUGCGGGCUAGGUGUUGAGGUGGCUACGGGCCACUUCAGUGCCGCAGGUAAGCCAUUAAGCCCGCCGCCUGGGGAGUACGGCCGCAAGGUUGAAACUUAAAGGAAUUGGCGCGGGAGCACCACAAGGCGUGAAGCUUGCGGGUUCCUUGGAGUCAACGCCGGGAACCUUACCG
This 639-nucleotide ribosomal RNA is filed under the name uncultured organism. Its description in RNAcentral is "bacterial SSU rRNA". It matches the Rfam family "Archaeal small subunit ribosomal RNA", at positions 291 to 932 of the family's 1478-position model. The record is from RNAcentral.